RNAcentral lists this ribosomal RNA (119 nucleotides) under Rhinopithecus bieti (black snub-nosed monkey). Lineage: Eukaryota; Metazoa; Chordata; Mammalia; Primates; Cercopithecidae. The record is from RNAcentral.
GUCUAUGGCCAUACAACCCUGAACAUGCCUGAUCUCAUCUGAUCUCAGAAGCUAAGCAGGGUCGGGCCUGGUUAGUACUUGGAUGGGAGAUCGCCUGGGAAUAUCGGAUGCUGUAGGCA